This is a long non-coding RNA of Lolium rigidum, 2658 nucleotides long. RefSeq lists it as uncharacterized. The transcript is spliced from 3 exons. The record is from RefSeq and is a predicted model, not a curated record. Lineage: Eukaryota; Viridiplantae; Streptophyta; Magnoliopsida; Poales; Poaceae.
CGCGCGGGGAGGAAAGACCCGGCGCCCCCGGGUCCAAGGUGGGAGGGGAGCACGGUGGCGGCAUCGCCGGAGCGGAGCGUGCUGGCUUGCCUGGAAUGGCUCCGCGGCAGAGGCGCUGAUCGGGAGAGCUCGCGGAGGAGUUCCCUUCGUAUUUCCUCUCUUUCCACCUGCGCGGCUCAGCCCCCUCGACCUACUCGACCAGCUGCCUGCUAUGGUCGCCAUGGCCGCCGCCCAUCUUCUAGGAGGAGAAAGCUGGGCAACUGAUGCGUCGACUGCGCGCAUGACAUCAAUAUAAACACGGGAAGUGAGGCAAGGGAAUACAACCACGGCCGUGUGGUCUUCCAGGCCUAAAUCGUUGUGUCAGUAGUCAGUUCGCGUCUUCUCUCCUCUCACAAAGUUGUAAGUUGUUUUCUGCUUUGCUCAUAUCUAUUCGGAUAUUGUUAGAUUGACCACGUUUUGGUUGGUUCAGUAAAUUAGAUGAACAUGUUGUUUCAGUUUGUGAUUACAUUAUAGUGUAUACAUUUAGUGAUUAUGGCUAAUUAGAUACUCCAGCCUAUACAGUACGUUCUUCACAUUGUUGAUAUGGAAUGCAUACUGGACAUGUUACAUUUCAUAUAAGAAGACUCUGUUAAAUGUUUGUGAUUCCCGAUUUUUCUUUCCAUGGGGUACAGAAGAAGGUUGCUAGAUGGUAGUGAAGGAUUUAAAAAAUGCUCAUGCGACAUCACAGAUUGGUUUUUUCUUUGUCAUUUGCUAUACUAAAAUGGUUAUGUUUAGGCCUAUAGCUGAUAAUUAGCCCACCUUGCCACCAACUGACAGAAGAUUGUUAGAGGGAUAAAGAGAACACUACUGUUUGAGAAAAUAAUAUUUAGUGGUGACCAACUUUGGUUUCCAACAGGCAGCAGAGUCCUACGUGUACUUUGUUUUCAGUUUCCAAGAAACUGAUUGUAAUCUAUAAUUGCUUGGCUUGAUUCUGCCAGAAAAAUUGUAAUACUAUUCGUAACAGCCCACUGUUUAGGUCAGACCAUGAGGCCAUGAUAUUAGUGACAGUAUAGUUUUAGGUAGAAUACAUCACCUACCUGAGAUCAAGGUUAGCGAACGGAGAAUCUAAUAGAGAAACCAUAAGCAGUAAAUAUGCAGAAUUAUUGUAUCGGUAUGCACAUCACCCAUUCGAGAACUAAUAUGUAUUUUGUUCACGCAACAAGAGCAUACAUAUAAGUAAUAUUGGCCUUUCAGGAAUAUUCCACCAUUACUGUCUCCGCUCACACAGAAGAACGGAUGAUUAAAUCCUUGGUAUCAAGGCCAACAAACUCCAAGAAGAACAUUGGGUGUUGCAGAUAAAAGGUUUGGUAUGUACUCAUGUGUAACUAUUUUGUUGUGUUCUAAUUUUUGAUCAAUUCCUACGGGCAGUAAGCUUAACCUUUGCAUAUAGUGGGGUUUUUUCUUGGGUUGAGGAAAAUGAAGUGCACCAUUGACGUAGAAUUUCGCACUAUUUUUAUUGCUAUCCACACGGUCUGGUUGUUUCUACCACUUGGAUGUUGUGUUUGGAUCCUUGGUUUUAUUUUCUAAUGCACAUUAUGAGAAAAUUAUUAAGAUAGCUCCUGACAGCUCAUGAAAAUUAUUGCCUUGCAAUGACCAAGAUUGGUAUGCCUUUCAUGAAGUAUCGACCUUUGUUGAUUGGAGACAAGUGGUUUCCUCAUUAAUGUGAUAACCAGUUUUCUCUCCCAUUUGUUGUACUAAUUAUGUGCCGUUGGAUAUUUAGGAUAAAUAUGGAAGGAGGUGGUCAUGCCUGAUGUGUUACUAUCCUAUCUAGGUUAGGUGUUUAGGCUCAUUUCAUACUGUGUUGGUGUGUACGCUGGUGGGAUCUGUGUACCCAAUUGAGUUAUUAUCGAGAAGGCCUGGCGUUUUGAAAGCAUGUCUGAGCUCUUUGCUAUCAACAUGCGAGUUACCAUGGUAUGUUUAUGUUUUUAGCCUAUCUGUUUUAUCUCAUGAUUUGUUUAUGCUGGCAGUGAGUUGUGCAGGGUAUGUAGCUUCGAUGCAAGAUUACGAUUGGCGUGUUGCAGCCCAAUCAGGGAUGUUGGGUUCUGACUUUCUGCCCUGUGAUGAGUGUAGCUGCAAAGCAUUACAAGAAGGAUCUGGGUGCAUGUGUUCCAAAGGUUUCAAAUUCUUAUCGUAGUGUGUACAAGGAUCUGCUGUUGAGAUGGUUUUCUUUGGUGGUGUGGGUUGUGGUUUGGUUGGCAGGUCAAACUCGCCAAUGUUUCGUUCCUGGGUAUUUUGCCAUGUUGUCUGCUAUGCCUGACAUUCAUUUUCCCGAGUUAGGUCUUUUCAAUGUCGGUGUGUCGAGACAUUCAUUCCAGAGGGAGGACAUUUGUUUCCAGGUCCUUAACUUCUAUCCUGAAGGCAGUUCAGUUUUUGUUGGGCUUGAUGGAGUGUUGGUAGUUAUGGGCAGGGCAUCUGCCUCAUUAGUUUAGUCAUUUGAUGGCUCUAUUGAUCAAGCGAGUGGGAGUGAGAGAUAACCAUGCCCUGGUGAGACUCCAGUGAAAGAAAAGAACGGAAAAAACUGUCAUUAAGCGACAGGGGCUCGAAUUCAACAAAGCCUCAAACUGGUUCUAGGGGUCAGUGGAUCAGCUGAUAGGCUUUAAACUUGCCCGUCGCGAGUUG